This 159-nucleotide ribosomal RNA is filed under the name Staphylococcus epidermidis. RNAcentral describes it as "partial 16S ribosomal RNA". It matches the Rfam family "Bacterial small subunit ribosomal RNA", at positions 1382 to 1533 of the family's 1533-position model. The record is from RNAcentral. Lineage: Bacteria; Bacillati; Bacillota; Bacilli; Caryophanales; Staphylococcaceae.
UGUACACACCGCUCGUCACACCACGAGAGUUUGUAACACCCGAAGCCGGUGGAGUAACCAUUUGGAGCUAGCCGUCGAAGGUGGGACAAAUGAUUGGGGUGAAGUCGUAACAAGGUAGCCGUAUCGGAAGGUGCGGCUGGAUCACCUCCUUUCUAAGGA